Molecule: ribosomal RNA, 372 nt
Filed under: uncultured organism
Description: bacterial SSU rRNA
Rfam family: Bacterial small subunit ribosomal RNA
Source: RNAcentral
CAGAGGGGGCAAGCGUUGUUCGGAAUUACUGGGCGUAAAGGGCGCGUAGGCGGCCUGCUAAGUCGAACGUGAAAUCCCUGGGCUCAACCCAGGAACUGCGUCCGAUACUGGUUGGCUUAAAUCCGGGAGAGGGAUGUGGAAUUCCAGGUGUAGCGGUGAAAUGCGUAGAUAUCUGGAGGAACACCGGUGGCGAAGGCGGCAUCCUGGACCGGUAUUGACGCUGAGGCGCGAAAGCCAGGGGAGCAAACGGGAUUAGAUACCCCGGUAGUCCUGGCCCUAAACGAUGAAUGCUUGGUGUGGCGGGUAUCGAUCCCUGCCGUGCCGAAGCUAACGCAUUAAGCAUUCCGCCUGGGGAGUACGGUCGCAAGGCUG